GGUCAAGCGAAUAAGCGCACACGGUGGAUGCCUAGGCGGUCAGAGGCGAUGAAGGACGUGGUAGCCUGCGAAAAGUGUCGGGGAGCUGGCAACAAGCUUUGAUCCGGCAAUAUCCGAAUGGGGAAACCCACUGCUUCGGCAGUAUCCUGCAGUGAAUUCAUAGCUGCUGGAAGCGAACCCGGUGAACUGAAAUAUCUAAGUAACCGGAGGAAAAGAAAUCAACCGAGAUUCCCUAAGUAGUGACGAGCGAACGGGGAGCAGCCCUUAAGCUGGAAUGGCUUUAGAAAAACAAUCUGGAAAGAUUGGCCAUAGAAGGUGAUAGCCCUGUAUUUAAAAGGGCCACUCCAGUGAAGACGAGUAGGGCGGGGCACGUGAAACCCUGUCUGAAUAUGGGGGGACCAUCCUCCAAGGCUAAAUACUCCUGACCGACCGAUAGUGAACCAGUACCGUGAGGGAAAGGCGAAAAGAACCCCGGAGAGGGGAGUGAAAUAGAUCCUGAAACCGUGUGCGUACAAGCAGUAGGAGCUCGCAAGAGUGACUGCGUACCUUUUGUAUAAUGGGUCAGCGACUUACUGUUCGUGGCAAGCUUAACCGUAUAGGGGAGGCGAAGGGAAACCGAGUCUGAUAAGGGCGCAUAGUCGCGGGCAGUAGACCCGAAACCGGGUGAUCUAGUCAUGGCCAGGGUGAAGGUGCCGUAACAGGUACUGGAGGCCCGAACCCACGUCUGUUGCAAAAGACGGGGAUGAGCUGUGAUUAGGAGUGAAAAGCUAAUCGAACCCGGAGAUAGCUGGUUCUCCUCGAAAGCUAUUUAGGUAGCGCCUCAUAUGUAUCCUCUCGGGGGUAGAGCACUGUUAUGGCUAGGGGGUCAUCGCGACUUACCAAACCAUUGCAAACUCCGAAUACCGAGACGGACUGUAUGGGAGACACACGGCGGGUGCUAACGUCCGUCGUGAAAAGGGAAACAACCCAGACCCACAGCUAAGGUCCCAAAUUCACUGCUAAGUGGAAAACGAUGUGGAAAGGCAUAGACAGCCAGGAGGUUGGCUUAGAAGCAGCCACCCUUUAAAGAAAGCGUAAUAGCUCACUGGUCGAGUCGGUCUGCGCGGAAGAUUUAACGGGGCUAAGCAGUGAACCGAAGCUUGGGGUGCAUAAAACUUGUUUUAUGCGCGGUAGAGGAGCGUUCCGUAAGCCUGCGAAGGUGGAUUGAGAAGUCUGCUGGAGGUAUCGGAAGUGCGAAUGCUGACAUGAGUAACGAUAAUGCGGGUGAAAAGCCCGCACGCCGAAAGCCCAAGGUUUCCUUGCGCAACGUUAAUCGACGCAGGGUUAGUCGGUCCCUAAGGCGAGGGCGAAAGCCGUAGUCGAUGGGAAGCAGGUUAAUAUUCCUGCACCUCGCGUGAGUGCGAUGGAGGGACGGAGAAGGUUAGGUGUACCGGGCGUUGGUUGUCCCGGGGAAAGGCGGUAGGUUUGGAUCUUUGGCAAAUCCGGGAUCCUUUAAGACCGAGCACCGAGACGAGCCUUU
This 1519-nucleotide ribosomal RNA is filed under the name Xanthomonas campestris pv. viegasii. Its description in RNAcentral is "partial 23S ribosomal RNA". It matches the Rfam family "Bacterial large subunit ribosomal RNA", at positions 1 to 1577 of the family's 2925-position model. Lineage: Bacteria; Pseudomonadati; Pseudomonadota; Gammaproteobacteria; Lysobacterales; Lysobacteraceae. The record is from RNAcentral.